GACGAACGCUGGCGGCGUGCCUAAUACAUGCAAGUAGAACGCACAGUUUAUACCGUAGCUUGCUACACUACAGACUGUGAGUUGCGAACGGGUGAGUAACGCGUAGAUAACCUGCCUGGUAGCGGGGGAUAACUAUUUGAAACGAUAGCUAAUACCGCAUAAUAUUAAUUAUUGCAUGAUAAUUAAUUGAAAGUUGCAAUUGCACAACUACCAGAUGGACCUGCGUUGUAUUAGCUAGUAGGUGUGGUAACGGCUCACCUAGGCGACGAUACAUAGCCGACCUGAGAGGGUGAUCGGCCACGCUGGGACUGGGACACGGCCCAGACUCCUGCGACAGGCAGCAGUAGGGAAUCUUCAGCAAUGGACGAAAGUCUGACCGAGCAACACCGCGUGAGUGAAGAAUGUAUUCAGAUCGUAAAACUCUGUUAUAAGAGAAGAACGGAUGUGAGAGUGGAAAGUUCACACUGUGACAGUAUCUGACCAGAAAGGGACGACUAACUACGUG
Molecule: ribosomal RNA, 505 nt
Filed under: uncultured bacterium
Lineage: Bacteria
Description: partial 16S ribosomal RNA
Rfam family: Bacterial small subunit ribosomal RNA
Source: RNAcentral